RNAcentral lists this ribosomal RNA (262 nucleotides) under uncultured bacterium. RNAcentral describes it as "partial 16S ribosomal RNA". It matches the Rfam family "Bacterial small subunit ribosomal RNA", at positions 96 to 353 of the family's 1533-position model. The record is from RNAcentral.
UGGCGAACGGGUGAGUAACGCGUGAGGAACCUGCCUCAAANAGGGGGGACAACAGUUGGAAACGACUGCUAAUACCGCAUAAGCCCACGGGUCGGCAUCGACCAGAGGGAAAAGGAGCAAUCCGCUUUGAGAUGGCCUCGCGUCCGAUUAGCUAGUUGGUGAGGUAAUGGCCCACCAAGGCAACGAUCGGUAGCCGGACUGAGAGGUUGAACGGCCACAUUGGGACUGAGACACGGCCCAGACUCCUACGGGAGGCAGCAUG